UUGAAGAGUUUGAUCAUGGCUCAGAUUGAACGCUGGCGGCAGGCCUAACACAUGCAAGUCGAGCGGUAGCACAGAGAGCUUGCUCUCGGGUGACGAGCGGCGGACGGGUGAGUAAUGUCUGGGAAACUGCCUGAUGGAGGGGGAUAACUACUGGAAACGGUAGCUAAUACCGCAUAACGUCGCAAGACCAAAGUGGGGGACCUUCGGGCCUCAUGCCAUCAGAUGUGCCCAGAUGGGAUUAGCUAGUAGGUGGGGUAACGGCUCACCUAGGCGACGAUCCCUAGCUGGUCUGAGAGGAUGACCAGCCACACUGGAACUGAGACACGGUCCAGACUCCUACGGGAGGCAGCAGUGGGGAAUAUUGCACAAUGGGCGCAAGCCUGAUGCAGCCAUGCCGCGUGUGUGAAGAAGGCCUUCGGGUUGUAAAGCACUUUCAGCGGGGAGGAAGGCGAUAAGGUUAAUAACCUUGUCGAUUGACGUUACCCGCAGAAGAAGCACCGGCUAACUCCGUGCCAGCAGCCGCGGUAAUACGGAGGGUGCAAGCGUUAAUCGGAAUUACUGGGCGUAAAGCGCACGCAGGCGGUCUGUCAAGUCGGAUGUGAAAUCCCCGGGCUCAACCUGGGAACUGCAUUCGAAACUGGCAGGCUAGAGUCUUGUAGAGGGGGGGUAGAAUUCCAGGUGUAGCGGUGAAAUGCGUAGAGAUCUGGAGGAAUACCGGUGGCGAAGGCGGCCCCCUGGACAAAGACUGACGCUCAGGUGCGAAAGCGUGGGGAGCAAACAGGAUUAGAUACCCUGGUAGUCCACGCCGUAAACGAUGUCGAUUUGGAGGUUGUGCCCUUGAGGCGUGGCUUCCGGAGCUAACGCGUUAAAUCGACCGCCUGGGGAGUACGGCCGCAAGGUUAAAACUCAAAUGAAUUGACGGGGGCCCGCACAAGCGGUGGAGCAUGUGGUUUAAUUCGAUGCAACGCGAAGAACCUUACCUUGGUCUUGACAUCCACAGAACUUUCCAGAGAUGGAUUGGUGCCUUCGGGAACUGUGAGACAGGUGCUGCAUGGCUGUCGUCAGCUCGUGUUGUGAAAUGUUGGGUUAAGUCCCGCAACGAGCGCAACCCUUAUCCUUUGUUGCCAGCGGUUAGGCCGGGAACUCAAAGGAGACUGCCAGUGAUAAACUGGAGGAAGGUGGGGAUGACGUCAAGUCAUCAUGGCCCUUACGACCAGGGCUACACACGUGCUACAAUGGCAUAUACAAAGAGAAGCGACCUCGCGAGAGCAAGCGGACCUCAUAAAGUAUGUCGUAGUCCGGAUUGGAGUCUGCAACUCGACUCCAUGAAGUCGGAAUCGCUAGUAAUCGUAGAUCAGAAUGCUACGGUGAAUACGUUCCCGGGCCUUGUACACACCGCCCGUCACACCAUGGGAGUGGGUUGCAAAAGAAGUAGGUAGCUUAACCUUCGGGAGGGCGCUUACCACUUUGUGAUUCAUGACUGGGGUGAAGUCGUAACAAGGUAACCGUAGGGGAACCUGCGGUUGGAUCACCUCCUU
RNAcentral lists this ribosomal RNA (1538 nucleotides) under Klebsiella pneumoniae. Its description in RNAcentral is "bacterial SSU rRNA". It matches the Rfam family "Bacterial small subunit ribosomal RNA". Lineage: Bacteria; Pseudomonadati; Pseudomonadota; Gammaproteobacteria; Enterobacterales; Enterobacteriaceae. The record is from RNAcentral.